GUCUAACGGGUACAGGAUCCACAAUGGAUCUGUGCUACUCUUUCACCUCCUGGAGCUGAGAAAAGGUCACAAACAGUUCACUACUUAUUCCUUUCAGUAGCCAGAUUGGUAUUAUAUCUGAAGUUGUUCAUGAGAGUAAGACAACACAGUGGCAAGAUUGGGUAGUUUCAUCUGAAACGUGCGGCUUCCCUUCGUCUCUUCCCUGCCUGCCCAAGGCUGGAGGUCACCUACUUACGCUCAUCCUAACGUGUGAGAUUGUGAACAAUUCUGAGAUGCAGUGAACACACUGAUCAAACGUUUUUGAGACUGAGUACAUUCAUCUGAGCUGUUAGCUGCUACGCUCCACUGCAUCCUUGUAUGAUCUGCGUGGUCCAGACCCCUGGAGAAAAUUUGUGCAUGCAUACUGUAUGUGAACUUUAGAUAAAUAAAUAAACACGCGAAACAGCUUCCAGAUAAUUGAAAGUGAAUGAAGGAGGGAGCCAAAAGAAAACAAUUUCUCUGGGGAUAAGCAGCUAAGGUGGCAGAUGUUACAGACAUACAGAUGAAUUUUCUGCGGCAAAUCUGCACCUUGCAGAGGAAGUUACUUGGCCUCCAUCUCAAAUGUCAGACCACCUGGGAUAUGCAGCUGUCGGGCUGAAAGGGGAGCUGCCUGGGACUGGCCCCGGCCUGCUCAUCAAGGAGAUACUGUCACCAGCCAGCAGGCAAUGCUAGGUGCACAGGGGUGCCAGCACCGCCGAAAGCCAGAGAUACGCCUGGCUCAGGAUUUGAGAUUUUUAAGGAAGAAAAAUAAAGAACUUAGCUGAAACUAUGGAUAUUUCUACCAAAGAGCUGGGUCUGAGGUGGUAUUCUUUCCUUCUAG
This is a long non-coding RNA of Canis lupus familiaris (dog), 859 nucleotides long. RefSeq lists it as uncharacterized. The record is from RefSeq and is a predicted model, not a curated record. Lineage: Eukaryota; Metazoa; Chordata; Mammalia; Carnivora; Canidae. The transcript is spliced from 4 exons.